AUUGAACGCUGGCGGCAGGCUUAACACAUGCAAGUCGAGCGGGGUGAUGGUGCUUGCACUAUCACUUAGCGGCGGACGGGUGAGUAAUGCUUAGGAAUCUGCCUAUUAGUGGGGGACAACAUCUCGAAAGGGAUGCUAAUACCGCAUACGUCCUACGGGAGAAAGCAGGGGAUCACUUGUGACCUUGCGCUAAUAGAUGAGCCUAAGUCGGAUUAGCUAGUUGGUGGGGUAAAGGCCUCCCAAGGCGACGAUCUGUAGCGGGUCUGUGAGGAUGAUCCGCCACACUGAGACUGAGACACGGCCCAUACUCCUACGGGAGGCAGCAGUGGGGAAUAUUUGGCAAUGGGGGGAACCCUGAUCCAGCCAUGCCGCGUGUGUGAAGAAGGCCUGAUGGUUGUAAAGCACUUUAAGCGAGGAGGAGGCUCUUUUGGUUAAUACCCAAGAUGAGUGGACGUUACUCGCAGAAUAAGCACCGGCUAACUCUGUGCCAGCCGCCGCCGUAA
RNAcentral lists this ribosomal RNA (503 nucleotides) under uncultured bacterium. RNAcentral describes it as "partial 16S ribosomal RNA". It matches the Rfam family "Bacterial small subunit ribosomal RNA", at positions 30 to 523 of the family's 1533-position model. The record is from RNAcentral.